Molecule: small RNA, 399 nt
Filed under: Arabidopsis thaliana (thale cress)
Lineage: Eukaryota; Viridiplantae; Streptophyta; Magnoliopsida; Brassicales; Brassicaceae
Description: ATSL045980
Source: RNAcentral
GUUGGGAAUUUUGGGAUUCAAUGGUGUGGAUCCCAUACACAUUAAUGUUUCUGUUAAAAAUUGACCUAUAAAGAUUUGAUCCAAAGAUUUUGGAAUUAUUUCGUCUAGCUCUAAUCACCCAAGUUAUUUCCUUUAAAUGGUGAUCAUUUUUUUUGUUUCUUAGAGUAUCUUAAGUUUUGUCCGAAAAAAAGAAAAAGAAAAAAGUAUCGUAAGCAAGAAAAAGAAAAAAGUACCGUAAGCAGUAGACAUUAUGGGACGAUUGGUAAGGGUGACUGUAAAGACUUUAACUUUAAAAAUAGUAACUGUAGAAAGUUUGGCUGCAGAGACUUUGAAUUUUAAAAUCUGAUCGGUAACAAAAGCUUUAAAAACUGUUACUGUUAUUUAUUUAUAUUUAUUACU